GACGAAGGGGGCUAGCGUUGUUCGGAAUUACUGGGCGUAAAGCGUGUGUAGGUGGUUGUCAUAGUCAGGCGUGAAAGCCUUGAGCUCAACUCAAGAAAUGCGCUUGAUACUGGGCAGCUAGAGGACCGGAGAGGAUAGUGGAAUUCCCAGUGUAGUGGUGAAAUACGUAGAGAUUGGGAAGAACACCAGUGGCGAAGGCGGCUAUCUGGACGGUUUCUGACACUAAGACACGAAAGCGUGGGGAGCAAACGGG
Molecule: ribosomal RNA, 253 nt
Filed under: uncultured bacterium
Lineage: Bacteria
Description: partial 16S ribosomal RNA
Rfam family: Bacterial small subunit ribosomal RNA
Source: RNAcentral